This 653-nucleotide long non-coding RNA is filed under the name Zostera marina. RNAcentral describes it as "long non-coding RNA (ZMAR_LNC002101)". The record is from RNAcentral. Lineage: Eukaryota; Viridiplantae; Streptophyta; Magnoliopsida; Alismatales; Zosteraceae.
UCCGUAUCAACCUGCAUCACAAUAUAACGCCCCUCCGCCUCCGGGAUACAAUGUCUAUCCACCGCCUCAAGUAUACCCACCUCAAGGAAGCGGAGGCUAUCCUCCGCCACAAGGAUACCCACCUCCACCGCCUCCCGGAUAUGGUGGCCAACCAGGCUACUAUCCUUACCAACAACCUCCGCCUCCCCAUCCCCAAGAUCACAAAGGGGAUAGCGAUGAUGGAUGUAUUAGUGCAUGGUGAGAUAUAUUAUCAGCUUUAUUUUUAAAUCGAUAAUCUCAAACAACAAACAAGUUUAUGAAAAAAAAAACCUAAAUUGAUUUCCCCCAAAUUAUAACACACAUAAAAAUCUAAAUCCAUAGAACAUUAGCCGAACCGAUCACAAUAAUAAUAUUUUUUUUGUUUUUUUGUUUGCAGUUUGGCUGCACUUUGUUGCUGCUGCCUUUUGGAUUUUUUUCUUUGACGGAAAAUUUGAAAAAUUACCGAGUGUAAUUUAUAGAGAAAUCAAGAUUUGAGAUUUUGUUUUUUUUAUCUGGGUGGAAUUCAUGUGAGAUUUUACUAUUUGAAAAUUAAAUAAAAAAUUACACGACUAUUUAAUUUUUAUCCAAACCAUUUAAUAUUAAAUAGGACAUAUAUCGACUAAUAAAUGAAUUGA